CCUACGGGUGGCAGCAGUGGGGGAUAUUGCACAAUGGGGGGAACCCUGAUGCAGCGACGCCGCGUGAGGGAAGACUGCCCUAUGGGUUGUAAACCUCUUUUGUCAGGGAGCAACGCCGGCUACGUGUAGCCGGACUGAGAGUACCUGAAGAAAAAGCAUCGGCUAACUCCGUGCCAGCAGCCGCGGUAAUACGGAGGAUGCGAGCGUUAUCCGGAUUUAUUGGGUUUAAAGGGUGCGUAGGCGGAUCGUUAAGUCAGUGGUCAAAUUGAGGGGCUCAACCCCUGCCCGCCAUUGAAACUGGCGCUCUUGAGUGGAAGAGAAGUAUGCGGAAUGCGUGGUGUAGCGGUGAAAUGCAUAGAUAUCACGCAGAACCCCGAUUGCGAAGGCAGCAUGCCGGCUUCCGACUGACGCUGAAGCACGAAAGCGUGGGGAUCGAACAGGAUUAGAUACCCCUGUAGUC
Molecule: ribosomal RNA, 460 nt
Filed under: uncultured bacterium
Lineage: Bacteria
Description: partial 16S ribosomal RNA
Rfam family: Bacterial small subunit ribosomal RNA
Source: RNAcentral